GAAAUGCGAUAAGUAGUGUGAAUUGCAGACUUUAGUGAAUCAUCGAAUCUUUGAACGCACAUUGCGCCCGCCAGUAUUCUGGCGGGCAUGCCUGUUCGAGCGCCAUUACAACCCUCAGGCCCCCGGGCCUGGCGUUGGGGAUCGGCGGAAGCCCCCUGCGGGCACAACGCCGUCCCCCAAAUACAGUGGCGGUCCCGCCGCAGCUUCCAUUGCGUAGUAGCUAACACCUCGCAACUGGAGAGCGGCGCGGCCACGCCGUAAAACACCCAACUUCUGAAUGUUGACCUCGAAUCAGGUAGGAAUACCCGCUGAACUUAAGC
Molecule: unclassified non-coding RNA, 320 nt
Filed under: plant metagenome
Description: partial contains 5.8S ribosomal RNA, internal transcribed spacer 2, and large subunit ribosomal RNA
Rfam family: 5.8S ribosomal RNA (bases 1-105)
Source: RNAcentral